RNAcentral lists this ribosomal RNA (403 nucleotides) under bacterium. RNAcentral's name for it is "partial 16S ribosomal RNA". It matches the Rfam family "Bacterial small subunit ribosomal RNA", at positions 355 to 776 of the family's 1533-position model. The record is from RNAcentral.
UGGGGAAUCUUGCACAAUGGGGGAAACCCUGAUGCAGCGACGCCGCGUGAGCUAUGAAGGUUUUCGAAUCGUAAAGCUCUGUCCUAUGGGAAGAUAAUGACGGUACCAUAGGAGGAAGCCCCGGCUAACUACGUGCCAGCAGCCGCGGUAAUACGUAGGGGGCGAGCGUUGUCCGGAAUUACUGGGCGUAAAGGGUUCGCAGGCGGCAUGACAAGUCCGAUGUAAAAGGCGAAAGCUCAACUUUCGUAAGCAUCGGAAACUGUCAAGCUUGAGUGAAGGAGAGGCAAGUGGAAUUCCUAGUGUAGCGGUGGAAUACGUAGAUAUUAGGAGGAAUACCGGUGGCGAAGGCGACUUGCUGGACUUCAACUGACGCUGAGGAACGAAAGCGUGGGUAGCAAACAGG